This 568-nucleotide ribosomal RNA is filed under the name uncultured eukaryote. Its description in RNAcentral is "bacterial SSU rRNA". It matches the Rfam family "Eukaryotic small subunit ribosomal RNA", at positions 21 to 549 of the family's 1831-position model. The record is from RNAcentral.
UAGUCAUAUGCUUGUUUCAGGGAUUAACCCAUGCAAGCCUAAAAGUAACUGGAUUAAAAGGAGGUCUGCAAACGGCUCAUUAUAUCAGUGAUUUUCUACCGGGAAAAUCGCAGGUAACACUGCUUCAUGGAUAACAUCGCGAAACGCGAUGCUAAUACAUGUUAAAACGUGGCUCUUGUCAUCAAACUGCUUGGGGAAAACCCUAGGCAGGGCAAGUGCUUCGCGAAUAGUUGGUACAAAAACCAACGCCAGCAAUGGCAGUGUCCUAAAGCGAUAAAUCAAACUAUUCACCAUAAGCGUGCAUUACCACGCAAAUCCCAAAAAAUCUCUGCCCUAUCACCUUUUGACGGUAGUGUAGGGAACUACCGGGGCUAUAACGGGUACGGGAAAUUAAAAUUCAAUUCCGGAAAGGGAGCCUGAAAGAUAGCUACCACUUCUACGGAGGGCAGCAGGCGCGUAAAUUGCCCAAUGCCAAACUGGCGAGGCAGCGAAAAGAAAUACCGUCCCCCCCUCAAUGAGUGUGGGGAUUGCAAUGGGUGGUAUUUAAACCAACCAACGAGUAACAAUU